RNAcentral lists this long non-coding RNA (2833 nucleotides) under Capra hircus (goat). RNAcentral describes it as "lncRNA (ENSCHIG00010027713.1)". The record is from RNAcentral. Lineage: Eukaryota; Metazoa; Chordata; Mammalia; Artiodactyla; Bovidae.
GGCAGCCUCCCACACUUCCCUCCCUCUCCAGGAGCAGGGGGGCUCUCUGCCACCCCUCCCCCACCUCAUGGGCUGGGAUCCAACGGGGAAACGGACUGAGUCUGCCUCACGAGGCUCUGGACUUUGAAAGUAGCCCAGCAGGGCGGGCGGGCAGAACCAGAGUUCACCGCCGCCACCCCAGGCCCCCACCCCUGCCUGGGGCCGUGGGCGGGCUGACCGCACUUCCCCGUCCGAACCGCCAGCUGCUCCCAGCCUGGUGACACUCUCCCCUCUCCAAGAGCAGAGACCCUACCCCCGCCCGCCCGCCCGGCAGCUCUCCAAGCCUCGGAGGCUGCAGAAGGCUGUCGCUCUCCGGGGAUCCCAGGGGCCUGCUGGAAGGGGCUAUUCAGAGCUUGGCCGAGUCUCCUCCCCUCCCUGUAACCUGGGUCCCCCCCCACACGCCUCCAGGGACCAACUCAAGUCACUGGUGGAGGGAGGGCUGCCCCACGGCUGGGAGGUCUCUGCCUUGCCUGGUAGACGGAGGCCACUGGCUUCCAUGUGGCGCGGGGCGGGGGGGGGGGACCUGGGUCCCCAGAUUCAAAGCUGGGCUGGACAGAGCUUUUUCCCACACACAUGGGGAGGCCUGUUUCUCUGCCAGGGUGGGGCCUGGGGACUCACGGUGAGCCAGUCUCCUCCCACGUCCCCAGGACGAGUGCCUCUCCUGGGGAGCCCUGGAGGCCGCCCGCUCCCCAGGGACAUGUAACUCCAGCCUGGGCUCACGGGAGGAGGGCCCCCCACCUUUCCAGCUACCAAGAGCUCGGACAGGAGGGGCGCUCAUCAAUGUGCCGGGAGCGUCCCCCACUGCCGGGUCCCUGCAGAGGGUGGGGCCGUGCCUGUCUCUCGUGGGCCCUCCCUGGCUCCUGGAGCCUCAGAACCAAAGUCACCCACACCUGCCCCUCCUGCCCCGCCUGCCCCAUCCCUCCUGGAGGGCCUGGUGGGCGGCAUCAGGCAAGGAGCAAGGCCACAGCUUCCACGAUGAUGCCCUAUCACAGGAUAGCCACACACAGUGGGAUGGCGAUGUGUCUGGGAUAGGUGCUCCAUGCGUGUGUCCAGAAUCGACACCAUCACGGCCUCAGAGAGCAACCCUGGCUGGCACAGGCCCGUGCAGGCCAGGCUGACGGCCACCCAGACACAGCGACUCCAGCAGCGCCUGUGCCCCGACCUCUGGGGCGGCUGGUGAAGUUUUCCUGACUCAAUGAGGACCAGCACCGGGACACCCAGGGCGCCGGGCAUGCCACGUGGAGCGGCCGGAGGACACGUCCUUGCCAGUCGGGGCCUGACAAAACGCGGUCCACUGGAGCAGGGAAUGGCAAAGCACUCUGGUAUUCUUGCCUUGAGAACCCCAGGAGAACCCCUUCUUACGGAUGGGGCAGCUGGGCCCCGCUAGGUCACUGGGCAGGAUGGCCAGGACCCUCGGCUGGGGGCCUUCUGCCUGUGGGCUCAGCGGCCUCUUCCUCCCCAGACACCCCAGCUGGUUCUGCAGCAUGGGCGGGGGACGGGCAGAGCCGGGGGUCCCAGCAGGCCGGCCGCCUGCUGCCCAGGGCCUCCCCCUGCCCUCUGGGCUCACUCCGCUCGCAGACGCCCCCACCCUCCUGCUCCCCAAGGGCCCCAUCCAAGGCCGCCCCCUGUCCCGGGGCCCGGGGGUGCCCUGAGCACUCUCCUCCCUGCGGGAGCAGCCGAGGGGGCAGCUUCGCUGGGCGCGGUGGCCACGGCUGGGGGCGGGCAGCAUCCACAGGUUCCUCACCAGCCCUCGGGGCCAUCGUGUCCCCUCCCAGCAGCCAGCCUUCCUUCCACCUCCUGAAAUGCAAAGCCAGCCCCGUUGUUCUUCUGCCAACAGCCCUUCCCCGUUCCCACGGCUCCCAGCUCCCAGGGAGAAGGCUGAGCAAGUGUGCCAGCCGCCCCCCUCCACCCCGCCACCUCGGCCUCUGCGUGGCCCCUGCUGCUCCGGCUGCCCCCUGCCAGUUCUGUCUCCGGGGUGGGGGGUGGGCGCGGGCUGAUUGUUCCCUCAGCAGGAAGACACCCUCCCCACCUGCUCGGCCUCAGCCCCUGGCUUCCUCUUCCGGGUGUGUGCUGCGUGUUGGGGGAGGCGCAGCAUGCUACUGACCCCCUGGCCACUGCCCCUUGCACGCUGCGCCCCCAGCUCUCUGCUGCCAGGGCCCCCGCCGCCUGCUGAGUAGUGCACAGCCAGAGUCCUGCCGACCUGGAACCUGGCACCUGGGCAGGUGGGCACUGGGCGGGGAAGGGGGGGUAUCCCAACCCCCCGGAGCUCAGCCUGGGUGAGAGGCAGACUCGCCUGCAGAUGAAAUCCACCUUGAUGCCGAGCACAAAGCACCUUCCUCCCCCAGCGCCCGGCUCGCCGCAGACGUGCAGGAAAUCUUAACUCACGGGAAUGAACUCGUUUUGUGAGAGCACAAAGGAGGGAGGGGCUGAUCCCUGAGAGCUUCUCAGCAGUGCGGGCUGGCUUGGUGGAGAGGACAUUCCUGGCUGGGAAACAGCCCAUGUGAGGGGCCAGCUGGAGGCGGGGAUGGGCCUCAUGUUUCUGGAAAGGGCGGGGAGUGGUGGGCUGAGCUGGGGCGUGGAGGGGAUCCGGGGCGCCACGUGGAACAUGCAACUUGAGUCUGUUGAGGUGGGGGAGAAGGCGUGUGUUUACACUGGGUUUUAUACCGAGGACCACAGAGGCAGUGUGGGGAGGAGGGCCAAAGGGCCUGGUGCUGGAGGAACAGGGAGGGGAGGGCUGGCCACCCCACUGCGUCCGGCCUUCUCUUCCUCCUCAGUAACACUCUCGCUUGUGUUC